CCCAGAUUGUUGUUGUUAGCUUGCAUUUCUUCUUUUGAAAACUGUCCGUUUCUAUCUUAUUGACCCUUUCAAUUAACUGGGAAAUGGCUCUUGUUUCAAUCGGUUCCUUAUGAACUUGGAUAAGAGGUAUUUAUUAGAGGAAACUUGCUAUAGCAGUUAUGCCCAAUGAGCUGUUUUUUUGUUUGUUUCAUUUUAGCUUUAAUUUUAUUUGUACAAAAACUUUAGAUCUUCGUAUAAUACAAAUGUUCUAUUAUCAUCAAUUCUUUCUGUCCUUUGUUUUAUCAAAUUCUUAUCCUUUUGUUCUGAGAGACGAUUUCUUCCGUUGCUCAUCUAAUUUACUUAUAUCACUUUUUAUGUCGAGAAUAUAUCAUUUACAGUUUUAUCCUGGAAUGUUGAGAUGUUGAGUUAAUUUUUGUCAGAAAGCUAGUUUUCCUAAUAGUGACUCUUCUCCAUAGAAAUUGGGGUCUUUGGAUAUAUUAAACAUAAUGCUUUGUUCAUUUGCUUCUAUAUGUGCUAUGUAGCUAAUCAUUUUUUGUGAAUUAAACUAUUGUAUGAAGCAGUAAUCAUCAAAAAUACUUUGGUUAAAAAGGUCAAGAUUUGGCAUUGAGAGGCUCUCUCUCCUUCCCAUUCCUCCCUCUCCAUCUUCAGAUGACCUCAGUUUUUUGAGAUGAAGAUGUCUCUUUCAGAUAAGGUCUAUGAUCCUAUGGUCUCCCCUGAGGCUAUUUCAUUGAUUACAAAGCUCUAAUUUUGGAGAAAUUUUUUUAAAGCCUCAGUUUACCUCUCUGAAACUUCUACCCACUUUUUCUACUUUGGCCCUUUGUGGCCAAGCAGAACCUAACUAGGCUUUCCAGAUGAUUGCCCUUCAGAUACUUGGACAAUUCUCAUCCUUCUUGCUUUCCUUUCCCCAAACCCAAUCUUUUCUCCAGACUCAAUGCCUCACUUUCCUACCACACAACAAGAUUGAGAUAGUUUAACUGGUGAAUCAUAGCUCAGCUCACAUGCUCAAUUGGCAUUCUCACUUUAAGACAGGGGUUAUAUGGAAAACCAUCCUUUUCUCUCCUUAUCCCUGAAAUUGAUGGGAAGACAGUUGAAGAGUCACAGAGUAUGGAUAGAUACGGAUGAAUUGCUGUCUACUUCAUAGGAGGGAAUGCACAUCAGUGAAGUAACGAUACGGAUACAACUUUUAUUGUUAAAUACUUCUAGUAAAGGUUUAGGCCAGGAAUUUUCAGAAAAUACAUUCAAGAUACCACUUUACAUCAGAGGAACACAGAAGGCACUGUUAUAUUGAUUGACUAGAUACAAGUCAUGUAUGACACAUAUAGCAUCUAUGUCUCAAUUUUUAAAUGACAUAAGAUGAAUCACUUCAAACUAUAUACUUCACAUACCACCCCCCUACACAAAUCCAUAGGAUAUGUUUUCUAAGCAAUAAAAUUACCAAAGUGUGAAUUGUGUGGGAAUUCCUUAUUUAAAUAUCAUUUCUUAGCAGAAUCAUAACCUACAUGUGACUGAGGCAAAUUCCUUUGUGGGGUUUUGAUCAUAAUCUGAUCUGUCAUUGUCCCCAUUGAGAGUUUCACAGCUUCUCUACUUUGUCAUGAACCUAACUGCCCCCCCCCCCCCCCUUCCUCCACUUUUUUUUUUUAUCCCAUCCCAGUAUGGGCCCACUCUAGAUCCAGGAUCUUUAUUGCCUCCUUUGAAUAAGAAACAAACACUCAUAGGAUUGUUUCUGGGCUAGAUUAAAAAAAAAAGUUUUCAUGAGUCCCCCCUCUACUUGUUCAUGUGAUAUUAUUGGCAGAAACAUUUUAGACAUUGACAUAUUCCUGAAAAUGACUUGAAAUAUAUUUUCCCCACUGUCCUGAUAUGUGCUUAAUCUUUUCUCCUAAAUGAAUUCCUGGUAUUUUGCCAGGCUCAGAUCCAUGAUUCAAUUUUCUUUUUACUUUUUUAUUAAAGCUUUUUAUUUUCAAAACAUAUAUAAUUUUCAAAGUUUACCCUUUUAAAACCUUGUGUUCCAUUUUCCCCUCUAAUCCCCCACUUCCUCCCCCAGAUGGCAAGUAAACCAAUAUAUGUUAAACAUGUGAAAUACUUCUAUAUAUAUUUUCAUAACUGUCAUGCUGCACAAGAAAAAUCGGAUCAAAGAGGAAAAAGAAUGAGAAAAUAAAAUGUAAGCAAACAGAAACAAAAAGAGUGAAAAUACUAUGUUGUGAUCCACACUCAAUCCCCACAGUUCUUUCUCUGGGUGAAUAUGGCUGUCUUUAUCACAAGACCAUUAGAAGUGGCCUGAAUCACCUUGCUGUUGAAAAGGGUCAAGUCCAUCAGAUUUGAUCAUUGUAUAAUCAUGGGGUUGCCAUGUACUACUCACUUCGCUCAGCAUCAGUUCAUGUGAGUCUCUCCAGGCCUCUCUGAAAUCAUCCUGCUGUUUGUUUCCUAUAGAAUAAAAUUCCAUAACAUUCAUAUGCCAUAACUCAUUCAGGGGACAUGAUUGAAUUUUAGAUUAGAUCUCUCUCUAAACAGGGGCAUCAUCCAAUUCUAGGUUUACCCAAAGAUAAUAUGUAUUUUCCAAUAAGUGUUGGAGAUCAAUAAAAUCUAGUUCAACUCCAGGUGGGGAAAAGCUUUUAAAAAAUUUCUGCUUCAAAAGUCAUGCAACCUACCAGUAUUAUUUAGGAAUUCAGAUUUGUCUUUGAAAUGCCCGAUUAGCUUUCUUUCCACUAGGGGACCUCAGAGUCAUAGCUACUAAAAAAAAUACCAGAUUCAUGUUUCUCUCGUCUCCUUCCUAAACUCUAGAAAAUAUCUAAAGACCUGGAGAAGAUUAGUUUAUUUCUAUUUAAAUUCUCAGAAUAUUUAACAGUUAUGACAUUAGACCCAGGAAGAACUAAAUUUUAAGCAAGUCAAAAAUGAUCAUGAGGCAACCUGCUCUCUGGAUACCAAGAGACUUCAAGGCUCAGCAGCUCAGCUGCCCCUUCCUCAGAAAGAUCUUCCCCGAUUUCCUCACCUGGUGUUCUCUGCACAUCUUUUUAAAAUCUUAAAUUUACAAACCAAUAAACUAUCAAAUAACUUUAUACAAAUUAUGACUUACAAAAAGCUCAAGCUUUGGGGCACAAAAUAUUAACAAAAUACAAAACAUGCUUAUUUAUUAAGCAGAUAGUUUAAAGUAGUCAGUUUCUAAGUUGGCCUUGUCUAAAAUACAUUAAUUUAAAUUCACUAACUUUAACAGAAACAAAAAUGGUCUAUGAAAGUCUGAAUACUGUGUCUUUAGCCCCUAGAACAUUUUAAAAUCAGAGUCUCUGCCCCCAUCCUUGGGGGCCUUGUAUUGUAGUACAUAUCCUUGUACAUUCCCACCCUGGCUAAGUUCAUUAAGCACCUUGAGAUGUGCCUAUUGUCCCCUCCCCUAUCAUUCCCAAUGCCUAGAAUAGCAUUUCACAUAGAAGAGGGAAAGGGAACAAGCAUUCACAUAGUACCUGUUAUGUGUUAGGUCCUAUGCUAAACACUCUACAAAUAUUAUGUCAUUUGAUUCUCACAAUAACCCUGGGACGUUGGUGGUGUUAUUCCAUUUUACAUUUGAGGAAAUCGAAACAAACAUUAAGUGACCUAUAUAACAAAGUAAGUAAAUGAAGCUGAAUUUGAGCUCAGGCCUUGCUGAUUCCAGACCUGGUGUUUUAUCCACUGAGCCAUGCAGCUGCUUAAAUGCAGUAGGGGAUGCUUAAUUAAAAGAAUGCUUGCAUUGAAUCUUGUGGAGUGAAAAUGGCAACUAGCAAUGGAAAAUAAAAAAGAAUAAAAGCUCUAGGAAGUUUCUACAGUAUAUCUGUGCCCUGAUUACUCUAGAAGUCCUUGUAGUGUUCACAUUCCCAAUUCCUAUCCUCUGAAACGCGAAGGGAAUUGUGAAAGUAGUGCUCCAUUAACCUGUGUGGAAAUGUCAUUAUCAUGGAAAUACUGUGUAACCAGUGUGGCCCAGGAGCCUUUACCCAGAAUCCACAAGCAGUGAUGUGGUAGAAAUGGCAACUGCAGGAUUGUUGGAUGGAGAGUUUGACGGGAAAGUGGCAUUCCAGCAGCACCCUCACCUUGGUACCACAUAGGGGGACCCAGAGGUUCUGCCUCCACUUUCAGAGGGAUGAGUUCCUGCUUUGCUGUGCUCAGGGCCAAAGAGGCUAAUGAUUUGUGAGCUACACAAGCCCCUCAAAGGCAGUCUUUGGCAUCUGAUCCAAGUUGGGAAUAGUAUAAAAAAAUCAUUGGGUGAAUCCAAAUGCUGGAAGACUUCGAGAAAAGAUGGCAGUGGUAGUGACUGCCAGGAGCUAGGAUGAAAUUAUCAGACAACAGAGCAAUGGAAGUGAAGAAUUCAGCAGGGACAGCCAUCGUGGGAAGUUCCAGCACCCAAAGCAAGGACUUGGCUAUUGGAGUUGGGGGGGGUGGUGAGCCAGAAGGGAGUCGGUGAGUGAAGGAUAGGAGGGAGCAGGGGAGGUCAGCAGGUCUAUUCUAAGCAGUCCUGUAAUCACAGCCCUCUUCAGCCCAACCUUCAGCCUUAUCUUUCUCUGAGGUGAGCAGCAUCAAGCAAGACAAUGUCUAAAAAUUAGCUGGUCCUCAGCGUUCUCUGCAGCCCCUAAUCAUAUUCUCAAGGGAUUGGAUGGAAAAGUAUUAUACUGAUUUCUUCACUAAAGAAACAGGGCAAUAAGGAAAGUUACAGAAGAUGGCAAAAGAUUUCAUGACCUUGCUUGUUGUGGAUAUUCCCACUACACAUACACAUAAGGAAAAUGCUGUUAAUCUUAAAUCCAUCCAAGUUGCCCUUGAAUAAGGCAUCUGAAGGGGGGAAAGGCAUUGAGGGAAACAGACUAUAGCAACAAAACAGGGCAAAAGAUUAUUAGGUGACUGAUAAAGAAGAAAAAAUAAUCAAUGGAAUUUCUGCCGUUUUCUACAGCUACUGACCAGAAGGUAAAUAAACUUUCUGUUUCUUUGUCUUGCUAACUACUAAUUUAAGAUAUUAAACCCUUAUCUUUUACAUACUUUUGGAUAAAUCUUUAUGUUACUGUCUCUGUGGCCUCUUGCUAGUGGGGGAUUAGGUCUUGAGAGGUACUAGGGAGAUGAAACUUCUGGGUGCAAGCUAUUCAAAGCCAUUAAACUUAUUAUACUGUUUUUGAAAAAUUGUCAAGACUGAAAAGGAUCCAAAGAGCCCAUAAUUUUGAUGAUGGAUCCAGUGUACAUUAAGAUGAGUCACAGAGAAAAGAUUCGAGUCAUCUGCUCCCUCCUUCUCUCCAACUCCAUUCUAGUGCCUUCCUACUGGGGAGAUUGUAGCCAAGAGCAGAGUACUAAAUCUGGGUUGAAUUAUGAAUUUGCUGAAGAUCUAUUCUACUUCUGUCUCCAUUCUCCAAUAAUUCUCUACUCACUAGAAAGUUCGAAUGAAAGGAUAAAUCCAUUUCAGUAUUUCAAAUUAAAUCUCAGAAGUUUCAGUCAUACCCUUCCAUAUAAGUAUUUAUCUUUCUAAUUUUUUUUUGUAAUGAGUCCAUAAACUCUUCCUUUCUCCACUCUGCUCCAUUUCCAACAAUGCUAAAGUUAAAUGAAGAAUUCCAAGCACUUGAUUUCACACUAUUUAACAGAAACGAUUAUUUAAAAAUUCAAUAAAAUUAAAAAAAAAUGAAGAAAAUUGCCUGAAGCUAAAAAAAAAAUGCUAGACAGGCACUUAUUCUAAACCCACUCAAAGAUAAUGAUCAAAGCAAUUCAUUCUCUCAGUUUGGUAAGAUUAUUUUAGAGAGGAAAGAUUUCUCCAUUAAAAAAAAAAACAACUUUAUUAACAGUACAAAUAUUCAAAUGGAGUAAAACAAUUUGGUAACAUUUCCAUUUAUGAUCUCAUCUCCUCAUGGUGUCCAGAAGCUUUCCUAACUUAUCUAGUCUAGAAGUUAACUUUUUAACAACAACAAAAAAAAAUGUCCUGGACUCCCUUGACAGUCUGGGGAAAUCUAUGUGUUUUUUCUUAGAAUUUUGUUUUAAAAGCAUGAAAAAAAAAAAAAAAGAGAAAUGGAGAUUCAUGAUUCAAUUUUCAUUCAAAUUUCUAUUUAAAUUCUCAGAAUAUUUAACAGUUAUGACAUUAGACCCAGGAAGAACUAAAUUUUAAGCAAGUCAAAAAUGAUCAUGAGGCAACCAGCUCUCUGGAUACCAAGAGACUUCAAGGCUCAGCAGCUCAGCUGCCCCUUCCUCAGAAAGAUCUUCCCCGAUUUCCCCACCUGGUGCUGCUCUCUGCAUUUUUUUAAAAUCUUAAAUUUACAAACCAAUAAACUAUCAAAUAACUUUAUACAAAUUAUGACUUACAAAAAGCUCAAGCUUUGGGGCACAAAAUAUUAAUACAAAACAUGUCUAUUUAUUAAGCAGAUAGUUUGAAGUAGUCAGUUUCUAAGUUGGCCUUGUCUAAAAUACACUAAUUUAAAUUCACUAACUUUAACAGAAACAAAAUUAUGUCAGUUAGUCAUCAAAUUAUUUAAAAAACACACACACACACACACACACACACACAUACAAACAAAUUAAGGACCUGAGGUAAAGAGCUCCUGCUUUACAGGAAAUCUAUUCACUAAACAGGGCCUUCCUGUAGUUCUUCACAUUCUUUGGGUAUCAACUCAGCACAAGAAGUGACCAUCAGUUAUCCCUUGGUCUCUUCCUAGUUUUACCAUAGACAAAACAGGCAGAUCCAUCUCAUUUUUCUAUCAUGCAUUUCUUCUGAAACUUUUAACAUGGCUUCUGGGCAAUUGGUUGGCAAUAAGCUGUAGACUAUCCACACCCACUGGAGUAGUUUCUCCAUUGAUCUUUGGAUGACCCACAACAUUGGUCCUUUUGAGAUUGUGACAUUCUGGGAUUAGCUAUCAUAGCAUCACUGAAAUAAAUUUAACAUGUUCAAAAUGGAUUUUGUUUCAGGGAGAAGUUUUUAAAAGCAUCGAACAAUUUAACCAGUGCAACUCUGGCUGUUCAAUCUGUAUCCCAUGAAACAUUUAAGAAAUGUUAUUUAUAGUCCAUCAUCUUAUUCUCCUUAAGCAUGAGGAUUAUUUCUUUGAUUUCUCUCCUCAUAUAGAUGAAAAAAUUGAACUUUGCACAGAUACCCUAGUUUUUUGUUGUUGUUGGUUGUGGUGUUUUUGGUGAUGCCAUAUUUUUGUCCUAUCAGUUCUUCCUUUCUUCUCAUCUCUCCCCUGAUGAAAAACAAAAAGCCAGCCAAGAUGAGUUCUCUUCUGACUUGUUUCCAAGUACCACAUUCCCCCACUCACCCAGGUUCAGACCACUGACGUUCUUUAUCUUCUUCCUCUCACCUCUCCUGCCCAGCAGAUAUACCAUCUGGGGACUAUACAAUUGUCUCCCAUCUGAUCUCCCUGAUUCUAAUUCCCUCUGUCUUGAAUUCAGCCUAGAUAAGUAAGCACAGUAAGUGUCCUGUAACACAAGCCUGAUGAAACAACAGAUUCUAGAGCUGAAUGGCUGAAAUUUCAUUUUUUCAGAAGAGGAGAAAAAAAAGGCCCACAGGGAAUAAGUGACUUUCUUGUAAUGACAAAGGCAAUAAGUGAUAGAGAUAGAAUUUGAGCCCAAGUCUCAAGCUCCCAAAUCUCACGUUAUUUCCACUAUUCUACACAGCUUCUCACAACAGUCUUCUACUCCAAGACAUUAAUCUAGUAGCUCUUGAUUGAUUAUUGAAUAGUAUUUGAACUCUUUAACUUGGUGGUCAAGAACUCCAUAGCUUGGCCCUAGCCCAUUUUUCUCCUACUUCUUCCUCCCCAAACCCAAAGAUCUAGCCAAACUGUUUCUUUUCAUUCUCUGAAUCGACACUCAAAUCAGUUUGCUUCUGUUCCUUUGCUCCUGUAGAUAUCAGCAUGGAACUAAACUACACAUAGAAAGCCCUCAUGAAAUAGCUAUUAAAUAAAUGAAUUAGAUCUUAAUGAUGAAAAUGUAAAAAACAUAAUACUGGAGACAAUGUAAAUCAGCAUAUGUUAUGUUCAUUUUUUUUUCCUUUCUUUUCCCUCUUUCUCAUGGUUGUCCCUUUUGCUUUGAUUUUUUUUUCUAAUGACUCAAAUAAAUGCAUAUAAAAAUGAAUGUACAGGGAAUAACCAGAAAACAAGAAUAAAAAACAUUUAAAAAAGUAAGUCAGAUGCGGAACUAAAAUGAGAAUGAGAGCUUUUAUCCAAUUUUCUCCCUGGAGAUUUGUGUUUAAUAAUAGUUUGCAUCCACAUAGCAGAUCAGUUAUAAGGCCCUUUCAUUUACAUGAUCUCUUUUGACAACAUUCCAGACAGGCAAGUAUUAUGACUUUCUUUAUUUAAAAGAGGAAGAAAAAAAAGUGUCAGAAAGGAAGUUUGUAUAAUGGAAAACAUAGUAACCUUCUAGUCAGAAAGUCUAGGUUGGAAUAAUAUAACUUUGGGCAAAUCACAACCUCCAACCUCAGUUUGCGACCUAUAAAGAGGGAUACUAGUACUUGUAUUCCUUACCUUACAAAGAGGUGGUAAGAAAAGUCUCUUGAAAUUUAAAAGGAAUAAGAAUCAGGAAUUUCUGCAUCUCCACCCUGCCCCCCCCCCCAUCCCCUUAAGUCUUCCAUUAAGUUAGGACUGGGUUGAAUGAAAUCUUUGCCACUUCAACAGAAUGAUAGUUCUUUGGCAGAGGCUCUUGAGGUCAUCCAGCCAGAUUUGUUGGUUUACAGAGGGGAAAAAUCUGAAAUCCAGGGAGUAAGGGGAUUUACUCAUUUAAAGAAUAAGAACUGGGAUUUGAACCUAUAGCCUCUCACUCUAAAUGCAGAUAAUCUUACAUUUUCUGAUGAUGUGGAUUGAGGAAAUCAACAUUUUGAGCUAAGUUAUUGGAAUAAAACUAAAGACUAUAGUCAAGAAAUGCAAAGUUAGAUUUAUUUCUUCAUUAGUGAUGACAGGGGAAAAAUUUAAUCUAAAUACAUUAAUAUUCCUACUGGACUUUAUCUUCUGGAUUGUCAAUUCUUAAAAAAAAGAUAUUGAUUUCUAUCCAGUGAAAUCCAUAAUCAUAUCUUUAUAAACUAUGUAUCUGUGCUUCAAGAUCAUAAGCAGAAGGUGUGUGUGUUGGGGGGAGGAAGAAUAAGACAUUACUGUGCUUAAGGGGUUAAAAAUGAAUAGGACAUGGAAUCAAAUGAACUAUUUUAUAGACUAAUAACUUCAAGAAAGGAAUUUCUUAUUAACUCCUCAAAGCUCUCCAUAAUUCAUAUUCUGUUUCUAACACCCCCCCCCCCUUAGUCUUGCUGAAAAUCUUUUAAGGAUAGAAUGUAAAUCUGUGGGACUAAAAACUUUGUCCAAACAUUCUAGUAUCAUCCAAGGGCAAGGACUAUAUUUCCUAUCAUAAGACAAAUUGAAUUUCUUUUUGAAGAUAGACAGUUGGACCACAUCUCAUUUCAAUGAAUUGUCAUCAUGGUACCAAUGCAGGUUUCUGGUUAGUCAUUUAAAGGAUGUUUGGAGAUGGCUAAUUUCAACCUCAUUCAUUAUUGCACCUGCAUAUGACAGAUGGGAAGGUUUAGUGUUGUCUAGUUUGAAGACAAAUAGAUGAACCAGAUUUCUCUCCAUUAUACUUCCCCAUCAAUGAAUUUCCAUUAUUUUGAAGACAGCUAAAUUCAAGAGUAAUCUCUAAUUCACUGGGAUUCAUGAAAGGACAGGUUCAGAAUAUGAAAGUAGUAUGGUAUGGUAGAUAGCAUUCCAAAUUUAAAGUAAGAGUCCCUGGGUUCAAAUUCUGCCUUUGUCACUUAUUGACCAUGGCCAAGUCUCUUCAUCUGUCAGAAGAGGCAUUUGAGUGCGACCUCUGAAAGACAUGAACUAACAAUCUGAGCCUAUAUACAGUAAGCUGAGGCUUUGUAACAUUUUUCAUUGGGUGACUUGAAAUUUAAUUAUGUAAUGCUUUCCCUUCCUCCCUUUAUAGCUUUCAACAGUUUUCUCAAAGUCACAUUAAUUAAGGAGGAACAAAGCCACUAAAAAAAUCCACCCAUAAAACCCCAAACAAGGUAUACUUAGAAUCAUGAAGAUUCAACCCAGAUGUUUUGAUAAAUCCAGUAGCUUAUGUAAGUUUGAUAUUCUUGGUGUAUUGUAUGAUGUACAACGUAGUAAUCAAGUUCCAAGUGUACCUGGAAGAAAACAAAUGGUGAUUUAGCCAACUCAAGCAGUUACCCAGGUGUGGGAGAAGGAAGAUAAGUAAUCAAGCAAGGGAGACGUGAAUUAUGAGGAUAGAGAAGGAAAAUCAGCUAUCCUAAUGGAGGCAAACUUGACAGGCAGCUAUAGUGCUGAUGCCCAGGUUUCAGUCUUAUCCUGAACAUGCUAAUUAGCUGAAAACAGACAAAUGACUUUAAAAAAAGACAAUGUAGUGUUCUUGGCACCUGCCCUGACUUUCCUUUCAAACACCCUAGUAAUCCCAAGUUUUUAUUGGGGUUAGAAUUCACCAAAAAUGUCUUUCAGGAAGGAUAGUUUUCAGAUUUUUCUCAAAAGAAAAUUUUACUGGAAAUCAAAUUACUUGGUAUAUCAAAUAUACUUGGUAUAAAGUUGAUCUUUAUAGAGAUCAACUGUGAAUUUAGCUCAUUCAGGGAGUGCCUUAAAUUACUUGCAAGAUCUCAGUUUUAAGAGGCUUGUGAAAAGUUGGGCCAUUCCUUUUACUCACUGACGUCUUGGGAAGAAAAAGUACAAAAGAAUCUGUCCUGUUGGGGUUGCCUUUUAGUUCAGUCACUUCUUAGUCCUAGUUUCACUGUGUGAAGACAGGCCAAUCUACCCCAGCUCCUCUUCCCCCGCCUUGGGGCAUUUCAAGCAAUAUACAAAUUAGCCCUUGAUCAUGGUGGAGUCAGAAUCCCAGUCUCUUCAGUAAAAUACUGGACAAGGAAUCAUCUAGCAAUUGUCCAGAGGUUCUGCUUUUUAUGCUUACUAAAAAUCACUAAAUGUCUCAUUAACAUCAGAGGGCCAGCGUUUAAAGUCUAGCCCGUCUCCUCAACAGUAAGUGUAGAGAACUAUCUGGCUCGGACUCAGUGGGGUCUGAGGCCUUUUGCAGCGAUCCUCCAUUUCUGAGGGCAGCCUAUUCUUUGCCUCUAGAUAAUUACAGAAGUUUUUGUAAAUCACUAUUCUCAGGCUCUUUUUUUACUUCUCCUCUGCCUUUGUCCCAACCAUUUUACCAUUUGGGAAAAUAGAAAUUUUAAGCUCAAAUCAGGCAACUCUGGUAAUAAAAAUCCACCAUGAAGUCAUUUCUCCUUAUACAAAACCCAUCUCUUACAUUGCAACGCUCUACUUCAUUUGUGUAUGUUUUCCUCCUUCAUUUUUUAAGGGGAGGAGGGAGAAGAGACCUUCCUUUUAAAGGACAUGGUGUCCCUUUCUCCAUCUUGGUCUGGCAAGACCAUUGCCAACAGGGAAUUCAGGGCCAAGGAGUUUGCUAGUGGUUGAAAUCUAGGAGGCCUCAAUUGUAUCCACUCUCCAAGUCCAAGUCUCCUUCCCCUUCUCAUCUCCAGAAUACAAAACAUUUGGAUGCUGUAGCUCACACCCCAGUUCUGUGGGGUAAGAAGUGCAGACCCUGUAGGAUCAUUCCUUCAAAAUCAAGGCAACUUUAGCUCCAAACGGGAAGCUUGGGAAAAAAUAUUCUAAAAUGCAGAUCACACUAGCUUGCAAUAAUUGUUUUAGUUACCUCCUCCCUUCUCCCCAUUAAAAACAACAACAAUAAUAAUUAGAAGGAAGCAAUAAGGAAAGUUUUGGUCUUUUGCUCUAGAUCAGAGUUUAAGUUGGGAUUGGUGAAUUUAUUAAAAAAAUCAUUUUGAUCAGUAUUUCAGCAAGAUCAGCUUCCUUUGUAAUCUUCUGUACUUUAUGAUUUUUGAGAGGGGUCUCUAGGGUUUUCUGGACUUCCAAAAGGGUCCAGGACCCAAAGAAGGUGAAGAAUUCCUGGUUUGCAUGGGACAUUUCAGGAAGGAAAGGAAUUUUAGGGGAUUAAGAUCAAGUCAAUUUCAUCACAGCUGAACUUUGUCAUUAGAACAAGUUUAGCAAAAGAUUAGCAAGAAGUUUCUGGCCUCAGAUCCACCUACCCCAGUGGAAAAAAAAAUUGUAAAAGUAGAUCUCCUACAUCCUUCUUGAUCCAGGACAUUUGUUUCCUGCUGAUUAUUAUGGUUCAGGACCUAGCAGUUUAAGUUCUGAAAGUAAGCAGUCAAGUAAAUAAUGAUACCUGCAUUUAGAAAGAAAGGAUGAUUAAGGUCAGAGAAAAGGGAUUGCUCUGUGGUGCCAUUUCUCUCAAGAAAUUAAAACAAAUUGAAUUAGAAUCACGCAGAAAUCUUCAUCUCAGUACACUCCAGUAUCCCAGAUAAGCAGCCAUCUAUCCUUUAGUAGGGAGCUUCUAUUGAGGCUGAACCCAGUACCAGGAAACUGAUUCUCAGGAAGCUUUUCCUUAUAAUAAAACCUGAAUUUGCCCUACCAUUGCAGGAUACUAAGAGGAGGGGGCAAGAAAAAUAACCUAAUCCUUCUCUCUUACAACAGCAUUUUCAAAUACUUGACAUAAGAAUACCCUUCCCGUCUCUAGGCUACUUCAAAAACAUGAUUUCCAAGGUUCUUCUCCAUUCUUGUCCCUCCUUAGGUGUUGUCUAGCUUAUCAAUGCCCUUCCUUAAUGACACCCAGCACUGUGGGCAGACCAGAGUAGAACAGAGCAAACCUUAUCAUGUGAUAUCAAUCUAGCUGCAGCAGUUGGGACUUAACUAUCACAUGGAAAACAAGGGGGGAAAUCUAUAAUCCCAUACAUUAGUUUGACUCAAUGGGAUUUCAAGAAACAUUCCCUAUUUUAGAUACUUUUCUCUCUUCUCUCCCAUUCAAAAUUGAAACUACUUCCAUUAAUGUAGAUAUUUUAGUACUUUAUUAAAAAUAAUACUUGCUGGUCAGAGAGAAUUGAGAGGAGGAUGAAAGAUAUCAUAAGAAAGAGGGACGGUUUAGAGACUAAGCUAAUGGCUAGCUACAUUCCUCUCACCUAACAGGGCCAAGGCUGACAGGUAUGUUCUAUGUUUUGAUCUGCCACUGAAGAGAAAGCUCAUUCUUUGGAAGGGAAACUUCUCCAAGAAAAAGCCUUUGGUUUUACAGAGGGGGGAAAAAUACCUUUAAGAGUCCUUAGCUGCUUUUAUAUAGGAAUAACUCUUGAUUAUGCAGCUAUAGAAUUUGUCUAGGUCCUAGAAUGCCCACCACCCACUUCUAGAUUCAAGCUAAAUAUGGCAAUAUCUUCUACCAGCUCUUAUUCCAACAGUAGCUUUCAAACUCUAACUUGCUUUACCAGCUUUAGUUUCUAGGAGCCCUACCUUUCUG
RNAcentral lists this long non-coding RNA (13254 nucleotides) under Sarcophilus harrisii (Tasmanian devil). RNAcentral's name for it is "lncRNA (ENSSHAG00000023712.1)". Lineage: Eukaryota; Metazoa; Chordata; Mammalia; Dasyuromorphia; Dasyuridae. The record is from RNAcentral.